GGGGGAAUGGCGGAACGGUAGACGCGGCUGACUCAAAAUCAGCUACCUGACGGUGUAGGGGUUCGAGUCCCCUUUCCCCUA
RNAcentral lists this transfer RNA (81 nucleotides) under Paenirhodobacter enshiensis. Its description in RNAcentral is "Rhodobacter sp. DW2-9 tRNA". It matches the Rfam family "tRNA". Rfam says of the family: Transfer RNA (tRNA) molecules are approximately 80 nucleotides in length. Their secondary structure includes four short double-helical elements and three loops (D, anti-codon, and T loops). The record is from Rfam by way of RNAcentral. Lineage: Bacteria; Pseudomonadati; Pseudomonadota; Alphaproteobacteria; Rhodobacterales.